RNAcentral lists this transfer RNA (76 nucleotides) under Klebsiella aerogenes. RNAcentral's name for it is "tRNA-Ala". It matches the Rfam family "tRNA". From Rfam's summary of the family: Transfer RNA (tRNA) molecules are approximately 80 nucleotides in length. Their secondary structure includes four short double-helical elements and three loops (D, anti-codon, and T loops). The record is from RNAcentral. Lineage: Bacteria; Pseudomonadati; Pseudomonadota; Gammaproteobacteria; Enterobacterales; Enterobacteriaceae.
GGGGCUAUAGCUCAGCUGGGAGAGCGCCUGCUUUGCACGCAGGAGGUCUGCGGUUCGAUCCCGCAUAGCUCCACCG